GACGAACGCUGGCGGCGUGCUUAACACAUGCAAGUCGAACGGAAAGGCCCCUUUGGGGGUACUCGAGUGGCGAACGGGGGAGUAACACGUGAGUAACCUGCCCUUGACUUCGGGAUAACGUCAGGAAACUGGGGCUAAUACCGGAUAGGAAUCCUUGCUGCAUGGGGGGGGUUGGAAAGCUUCGGCGGUUUUGGAUGGACUCGCGGCGUAUCUGCUUGUUGGUGGGGUAGUGGCUUACCAAGGCUGUGACGGGUAGCCGGCCUGAGGGGGCGACCGGCCACAUUGGGACUGAGGUACGGCCCAGACACCUACGGGAGGCAGCAGUGGGGAAUAUUGCACGAUGGGCGGAAGCCUGAUGCAGCAACGCCGCGUGCGGGAUGACGGCCUUCGGGUUGUAAACCGAUUUCAGCAGGGGCGAAGCUUGUGGUGACGGUACCUGCAGAAGAAGCACCGGCUAACUACGUG
RNAcentral lists this ribosomal RNA (465 nucleotides) under uncultured bacterium. Its description in RNAcentral is "partial 16S ribosomal RNA". It matches the Rfam family "Bacterial small subunit ribosomal RNA", at positions 28 to 507 of the family's 1533-position model. The record is from RNAcentral.